GAAUGCUGACAUAAGUAACGAUAAAGCGGGUGAAAAGCCCGCUCGCCGGAAGACCAAGGGUUCCUGUCCAACGUUAAUCGGGGCAGGGUGAGUCGACCCCUAAGGCGAGGCCGAAAGGCGUAGUCGAUGGGAAACGGGUUAAUAUUCCCGUACUUGGUGUUACUGCGAAGGGGGGACGGAGAAGGCUAUGUUGGCCGGGCGACGGUUGUCCCGGUUUAAGCGUGUAGGUGUGUGUUCCAGGUAAAUCCGGUUCACUUUAACACUGAGGCGUGACGACGAGGCACUACGGUGCUGAAGCAACAAAUGCCCUGCUUCCAGGAAAAGCCUCUAAGCAUCAGGUAACAUCAAAUCGUACCCCA
Molecule: ribosomal RNA, 359 nt
Filed under: Salmonella enterica subsp. enterica serovar Heidelberg
Lineage: Bacteria; Pseudomonadati; Pseudomonadota; Gammaproteobacteria; Enterobacterales; Enterobacteriaceae
Description: partial 23S ribosomal RNA
Rfam family: Bacterial large subunit ribosomal RNA
Source: RNAcentral